This is a long non-coding RNA of Scylla paramamosain (green mud crab), 1787 nucleotides long. RefSeq lists it as uncharacterized. The record is from RefSeq and is a predicted model, not a curated record. Lineage: Eukaryota; Metazoa; Arthropoda; Malacostraca; Decapoda; Portunidae. The transcript is spliced from 2 exons.
CUCCUCCUCCUCCUCCUCCUCCUCCUCCUCCUCCUCCUCCUCCUCCUUCUCCUCCUCCUCCUCUGUCCACACAACACGUCUGUACAUUAUUAUCAUUAUUAUGCUUGAGAUUUAUAUUGUUCUGAGAAACUAGACAAAGCUAGAAAAUUAACGAAAAGGAAAGCAUUAUUUUGUGUACAUGAGCGUUUUAGAAAACCUCUAGGCACGCACGCACACACGCACACACGCACAUGCACGCACACGCACGCAGGAACUCGACGGUGGAAAAUGAUUAAACAACAUGACAGAAAUUGAGAUAGACAGGAGGCAACAACUGGAGCAACAACUACAACAACAACAACUGCGCCGUAGAGGAUCAUUCGCGUCUGCUUAAAAUGUAAAAUAGAUCAAUCAUUUAUAUACUUUUUUUUUCUUCUCAUUUUCAUAGUUUUUUUUUUUUCUACAUUUGUACCCUCUUCAAAUUCACCGCCCUUGACAUACAUUCACACGCUCGUGGCCUCGCUGUGUGCUGGGGUCAGGUGUAGACAAGUGAUUAGUAACUACAUAGGUUUGCAAGAUGUCUCGAAUGCCUACAAAAAUAGUACUUGCUUUAAUGGGAUCAGGGGAGAGGGACGUGUGCUGUUACUGGAGUGUUGGUGAUGGGAGUGGCUUGUAUUCUUAAACGCCUUGUUCUCUCGUUUUCAAAGGGCACGUGGGGUGAUUACUAAGAUUCUGUUUUCCCUAUUGGUGGUGUUGGGUCACUGUUAAACUAUUACUAGAGUCAUGGACACACUUUUGAAUAACUCAAACUACAACCUAUUGAAAGUAAUUGAGAGGGUCACGAUUUUAACUAUCAUUAAUGUUACUAGAUUCCAGAAUAACUCAAAAUCUGUUUAAAACUGAGAGGGUCACUGUUAGACUAUCAGUAGUCACAAAAGUACUCCUGAACACCUUCCACUGGGUCCUGUUGAGAGUAGCUGAGAGCAGAUGAGGAAACGUUUAAGAAUACUCGCCAGUGUGUGGUGUUACUGAAUUACCGUGUAGCGGAUCACCAAACUGACUGACUGGUUACCGUGAUAGCGGGUCACCACACUGCCUGUCUGACUAGUGAGUUAGGUUAGGCUUUGUGAACCAGCCGCCUCCUCAGAGGAGCUGCCAGGGCAAGUGAGGACUCAGGGAGGGGACUUAGCCGCCCCUUUCCCCGCCGCGGCUCAGAACGCGUGGCGCCUCGGCGGGUCUCGUCCCCCUCACACAGCUAGAGAAGCAGCAGCAGCAGUAGUAGCGCAGCGGCAGCAGUAGUAUCAGCAGUAGCAACAGCAGCGGGGCAGUAGGGGGCGGAGGCAGGGACGCAGCAGGCGCCCCUCAGCCUCUACGGGGAACGGGAAGCGGCUGCGGCGAGGCGAGGGUGACCACCGCCAGGCCGACAUUGUACUGAAGGGAGUGUUGCCGAGCCGCGGCAGCCUCCCCCGGCAGCUCCUGACGGCGGCGCUGCUGGUGACUGUGUGUAUGUGUGUGUGUGUGUGUGUGUGUGUGUGUGGAAGCCGAGGAGGAGAUGGCGGGCGUCGGAGUAAACAAAGGAGGACAUGGACUAUUUACUCCCUGUAUUUCAGAACCAGCUAUGUAUGUAUGUAUGUAUUAAUGAAUUACCGUUACUCGAAGCGUCUCAUGCUUUUUGGAAUAUUAUACGCUACUCUCCUGCGAGGGAAAAAACUGUAACACAAGAGAGAGAGAGAGAGAGAGAGAGAGAGAGAGAGAGAGAGAGAGAGAGAGAGAGAGAGAGAGAGAGAGAGAGAGAGAGAGAGAGAGAA